Pollicipes pollicipes is the source of this 261-nucleotide long non-coding RNA. RefSeq lists it as uncharacterized. The record is from RefSeq and is a predicted model, not a curated record. The transcript has 3 exons. NCBI's taxonomy places the organism in Eukaryota, Metazoa, Arthropoda, Thecostraca, Pollicipedomorpha, Pollicipedidae.
CUAUUCAACCGAGACGCGGGACAGGAGGUCUGCCUCCAAAGGAGCGCCAAGCGCGGCGAGCCGCUGCACCGGGCCCUCGAACUGGCACCAUGUCGCAGAAAUGUCGGAACGUCCGAUGAUGAUCAGAGCUUCCAUCUGAGUGCGGAGGGCCUGCUGCGCGCCGUCGACGGCCUGUGCGUGGACAGCGGGCUCCGCUUGGUACCCUGUCACGGCCAGCAGCACGCCUGGGCCUUCACUCAGGGCUCGGGCCUGGUACACGUC